RNAcentral lists this long non-coding RNA (1144 nucleotides) under Oryzias javanicus (javanese ricefish). RNAcentral describes it as "lncRNA (ENSOJAG00000004466.1)". Lineage: Eukaryota; Metazoa; Chordata; Actinopteri; Beloniformes; Adrianichthyidae. The record is from RNAcentral.
UCCAGAUAAUGUGGCUGAUGUGGUGGAAAUAAUUCACGAUCUCGUCACCUCUCACUUGGGCAAUGUUACCUCUCUGCCCUCCAUGGUGUUGGGCUCAGUGGUGGAGAAGCUCAGUGAGGUGAUUCGUGUGGGCAUCAUCAGGCCCGCCAUUGCGGCAACAAUUGUCAACAUCGUCGCCAAUGUCCUGCUCUCUGAAUCCGAUGUUGCCUCGUUUUGCAACAAGUAAGGGGGAGAUCCCCACAGCAGAUGUCAUGCAGCAGAGAUUGAUCUGACUCUGCUCCAUCCUCUGUGACAGUUUCCUCGACCUGACGGAGAGUAUGGGGAACACGAUGGACUUUCAAGGUGAAUCUGCUACCAUAACAGCUCCUUCUCUGGCACUCUCUGUGGUCAAUGUGGAUCCAGAGGAAUUCAAGGGCCUCACCUUUAGUGCUUCUCUGCAAUCAAUGAACCCCGAGGUGAGAUGCCAAGAAUGUUGUACUGUCAAAUGCAACAAGCACUAAAAACAAAAGUCCUGUUCGCUGUGAAAACCAAUCUAAGAACCUUCUCAGUGAUGUUUAUUCGGCUCAGGUAAUAGUUCCAGGUGACUACCCAGGUGAGUUUCAGGUGCAUGAAUGUCAUUUGACAACCUGGAAAAAUGAGGGAAGCUGCACACACCAUAUAGCCGCCAGCACAAGGAUUUCAAACCGGCAGUUAAGAAAUUAUUUCUUAAUAAAAACUGUAAAUUCUCCACAUUUAUAAAUACUUUUGCUUCCCAGGUGUUUGUCAACCAGAGCUUUGCGGGUGAAGCCCUCCCUGAGGCUAACGCCACCAUCUCUUUACCCGCUGAAAUCAGCAACUUCUUCCCCCCUGGAGAGAAAAACACAACCCGUGUUCAGUUCCAGUUUUAUGGAACGCAGAACCUUUUCCAGGACCCUGAACUAAUCAACCAAACUGGCAACUUGAUCCUUAAUUCCUACGUAGUUUCUGCCAGCAUCAAUGACAGCUCUGUCAUGAACCUGAAGAACCCUGUGGUGGUGACUCUCAACCAUCAGGAACCAAAACAGGUAAGAAAAGUGAUUGUUUUCCUUUUAUUGUGUGGUUUUGCCUGAAGUUUGUUUGAGUUCAUCCACAGUGUUUAGCACUGAUUUCCAUUUUGGACAAUAGC